GAUAGUUUAUUUGAGUGGAGAAUUUCGAUCUUGGAUAUCGAGGGCGAGGGUUAAAAUCUCUCUCGUUUGA
This 70-nucleotide transfer RNA is filed under the name Hemidactylium scutatum (four-toed salamander). RNAcentral's name for it is "tRNA-Pro". It matches the Rfam family "tRNA". From Rfam's summary of the family: Transfer RNA (tRNA) molecules are approximately 80 nucleotides in length. Their secondary structure includes four short double-helical elements and three loops (D, anti-codon, and T loops). Further hydrogen bonds mediate the characteristic L-shaped molecular structure. tRNAs have two regions of fundamental functional importance: the anti-codon, which is responsible for specific mRNA codon recognition, and the 3' end, to which the tRNAs corresponding amino acid is attached (by aminoacyl-tRNA synthetases). tRNAs cope with the degeneracy of the genetic code in two manners: having more than one tRNA (with a specific anti-codon) for a particular amino acid; and 'wobble' base-pairing, i.e. permitting non-standard base-pairing at the 3rd anti-codon position. Lineage: Eukaryota; Metazoa; Chordata; Amphibia; Caudata; Plethodontidae. The record is from RNAcentral.